Molecule: long non-coding RNA, 1189 nt
Organism: Gopherus evgoodei (Goodes thornscrub tortoise)
Lineage: Eukaryota; Metazoa; Chordata; Testudines; Testudinidae
Exons: 2
Source: RefSeq, a predicted model, not a curated record
CCUCCUCCCAUGUUUCUGCUCUGUCAGCACUUCUGAGCAGCCAGAGAGCAAAGUCUCCAUAUCCCCUGCACUGCUCCCACGCCCCCACAUUUGCCUUCAUUGUUCUGACCCCCCUAUAUCCCCUGGCUCUGCACCAAAAAAAGUAUGAGAAGCUGUAAAUGUUAUGAGCAGUUGAUGUUAGAGGGCGGGGAGGCUGUGUAUCAGGAACCCUUCAAACAACUCAGCAUCUUGCCUUCCUUUUGAUCCCACUUAGUUCCAUUCUAUGGAAGCAGGUGAAGAUUAUGAAUCAUGAAUACGUUACCCUAACCACUUACAUUCUUUCAUCUUCUAUUUAGUACCAAUUUCCUUGAUAAUAUUUUUAAAGUAAAAUCAGAGUCUGAAUGUGAAUUUUAGAGCAUCUCUCAUUCAAAUAUUACUCUUAAACUAGAAAUUUUGGUUUCAGGGCAAAAAACUUUCCUGCACAAUGCAGUCAGAGAUCAAGGACACACACGUAACACAUUCUCUAAAAGCCGCUAAUGGUAGGGCUCCAAUUCACAUUGCCUGGGUGCAGCUCAGGUUCAGUCACCACAGCAUGUAACUCAGUUACUGUGACAACAGACUGCCUACCAUCCUUCUGGCUUCAACAGAGCCCUAGCCUUGCUGCAGAUGUGCAUUUCACUCUUGGGUUCAUCAGUCUGGCAUGCACUGAACUGUAGUUACAAACUUUAUUCUUAGUAACUUUCAGUGUGGCUUCCCCAGAGGGGCAAUGGGUCCCAUGCAUUAGCUAAAAUAAAUCCUCAGUGACUGAGCUCAGUUUGGGGAGAACCAGAGCCAGAGUUUGAACCCUAGGUGCAAAAAUAGUUAGAUGAACCAGGAGAUUUGUUUUGGAUACGGGAGCCUCUCACUCAAAUGACCACAAGUUUAGACCUCUAACACCCCAGCACCCUCAUAAGACACAGCAUAUUUAAAGACAAUCUAACUAAGCAUGAAGAUUUUGAGAACUUACAAUAGUCAUUCCUUAAACAGCAACAUUCAACCUUAACUUAAGCAGAGCUGAUGCUCUGCUAGACUAAAGUAUGUUAAGGGAGAAACUUGUUGCUACAUAAAAUUCUCUUAUUUUCCUCAGUCACUAACAUUUGUACUUCAAAGUCUCUGUAUCUUUCUUCUUCUCAGUUUUGUGUAUUUUUCAAGUAAGAAUUAUGCAAUACAC